This 263-nucleotide ribosomal RNA is filed under the name uncultured bacterium. RNAcentral's name for it is "partial 16S ribosomal RNA". It matches the Rfam family "Bacterial small subunit ribosomal RNA", at positions 793 to 1055 of the family's 1533-position model. The record is from RNAcentral.
GUCCACGCCCUAAACGAUGAUCACUAGUUGUUCGGAAAGGUGACUUUCUGAGUAACGUAGCUAACGCGUGAAGUUAUCCGCCUGGGGAGUACGGUCGCAAGAUUAAAACUCAAAGGAAUUGACGGGGACCCGCACGAGCGGUGGAUGAUGUGGAUUAAUUCGAUGCAACGCGAAAACCUUACCUACCCUUGACAUGCUUGGAAUAUCGCAGAGAUGUGAUUGUGCCUUCGGGAACCAAGACACAGGUGCUGCAUGGCUGUCGU